AAUUAUACCAUCAAACUAUGAGAGCUCAAUACUGAGCUUGUUGAUGUUCACUAAUCAUUACUCUCUGAGCCCUUUCUUUCUUCCUGUAUUUUACUUUUAGUAUUGGUGUUUUAAUUUGUCUUUCUCUGAAACUAUGUUGUUUUUGAUCGGUGGGGGCAUUUAGUUCUUUGUUACCUUAAUUUUUUAAUAUCUGGAUGACACAACGGAAUUAGUUACUAAAUUGUCAGAUUUUUGGUGCUUAUAAUCUUAAAUUUAAGCUUUCCUGAUUUCUGAAGAUCUUGGAUAGCUUGUAUUGCGUUAUAAUUUGGUUCAAUCCCAACAAUUUUUUAGAAUUGAUACAUGAUCAUGAAAUGCAGUAAUUGAAAAUUAGAUUGUGCAAUAGAUUGUAAUGUUUUGACCUAAGUAGGAAGUGAUUAUUGUUCUUUUGUGAUUAUAUCUUUUAUUUCUUUGGCAUGGACAUUUAACAAAAUGAAGAAAAUAAAUCCAUAUUACUGAUUUCAAUUAAUUGUUGGAUUGAGCUUUCAGUUUCAACAAAAUCUUAUUAUAUUCUUGUAAUAUGUCGAGAUGAUCGACGAACGUGUGAAAGGCAACAAAUUAGAGUCUCUGAUGCGCUUUAUUUAUCAGUAGUGUUUUCAGUGCUGUACGUUGCCGAAAUGAUUGUGGGAGCUGAGAUUCUGGCAUGGCUUGUUAAUUAAUCAGGUUUAUGCAUUCAGAUGUUCCCACAUUUUAAUUGCGUACAUCAUGCAGUUGUGCGUUUGUGUUGACUGAUUAUGCAUAUGGUCAAUAUGCAAUAUGAUCAUUUCAGUCUGUAAACUUGGCUUUUGCAGUUCUGCUGGUUUUGUAAUAGAUAUUUCUGGUUAGAAAAUUAUUUUAAUGCAGGCCAUUUUACUUGGUUUGUUCACAUAAAUUUGACAUUGUAUGAGAAUUUGACAUCAUGUUCUUCUUUUGCUUGUGUGUGUGUGUGUGU
This 967-nucleotide unclassified non-coding RNA is filed under the name Hevea brasiliensis (rubber tree). The stretch from base 1 to 72 matches the Rfam family "small nucleolar RNA snoR116", at positions 19 to 86 of the family's 86-position model. Lineage: Eukaryota; Viridiplantae; Streptophyta; Magnoliopsida; Malpighiales; Euphorbiaceae. The record is from RNAcentral.